This 466-nucleotide long non-coding RNA is filed under the name Piliocolobus tephrosceles (Ugandan red Colobus). RNAcentral's name for it is "lncRNA (ENSPTEG00000029731.1)". The record is from RNAcentral. Lineage: Eukaryota; Metazoa; Chordata; Mammalia; Primates; Cercopithecidae.
UAUUCAUUAUUUAUUCAUUAUUUAUUCUUUAUUUAUUCAUUAUUUAUUCAUUAUUUAUUCAUUAUUUAUUCAUUAUUUAUUCAUUUAUUUAUUCGUUUGUUUACCCAUAUAUUACGCUUUUUCCACGUUGAGCCAAAAAACUGUUCACCAGAUAUUUCGCUGUUAAGCACAGGAAAAGAUUAUUUUAAAUAUUCCUACUUGUUUAUAAAUAAGCUUUUCAGUCAAUUUAAAAAAAAAAAAAACAAAAAAAAAAAAAAAAAAAAAAAAAAAAAAAAAAAAAAAAAAAAAAAAAAAAAAAAAUAUUCAGUCAGUAAGUCAUUUUUUUUUUUUUUUAUAUAGACCUUUUUUUUUAUAUAUAGCUUUUUUUUUAUAGACCUUUUUUUUUAUAUAGACCUUUUUUUUUAUAUAGACCUUUUUUUUUUAUAUAAACUUUUUUUAUAUAGACCUUUUUUUUUAUAUAGACUUU